This 253-nucleotide ribosomal RNA is filed under the name uncultured bacterium. Its description in RNAcentral is "partial 16S ribosomal RNA". It matches the Rfam family "Bacterial small subunit ribosomal RNA", at positions 524 to 776 of the family's 1533-position model. The record is from RNAcentral.
UACGUAGGGUGCGAGCGUUGUCCGGAAUUAUUGGGCGUAAAGAGCUCGUAGGCGGUUUGUUGCGUCUGCCGUGAAAACUCAGGGCUUAACUCUGAGCCUGCGGUCGAUACGGGCAGACUUGAGUUCGGUAGGGGAGACUGGAAUUCCUGGUGUAGCGGUGAAAUGCGCAGAUAUCAGGAGGAACACCGGUGGCGAAGGCGGGUCUCUGGGCCGAUACUGACGCUGAGGAGCGAAAGCGUGGGGAGCGAACAGG